This 460-nucleotide ribosomal RNA is filed under the name uncultured bacterium. RNAcentral's name for it is "bacterial SSU rRNA". It matches the Rfam family "Bacterial small subunit ribosomal RNA", at positions 923 to 1379 of the family's 1533-position model. The record is from RNAcentral.
GCACAAGCGGUGGAGCAUGUGGUUUAAUUCGACGCAACGCGCAGAACCUUACCAGCCCUUGACAUCCCGGUCGCGGACUCCAGAGACGGAGUUCUUCAGUUCGGCUGGACCGGAGACAGGUGCUGCAUGGCUGUCGUCAGCUCGUGUCGUGAGAUGUUGGGUUAAGUCCCGCAACGAGCGCAACCCCCGUCCUUAGUUGCUACCAUUUAGUUGAGCACUCUAAGGAGACUGCCGGUGAUAAGCCGCGAGGAAGGUGGGGAUGACGUCAAGUCCUCAUGGCCCUUACGGGCUGGGCUACACACGUGCUACAAUGGCGGUGACAAUGGGACGCUAAGGGGCAACCCUUCGCAAAUCUCAAAAAGCCGUCUCAGUUCGGAUUGGGCUCUGCAACUCGAGCCCAUGAAGUUGGAAUCGCUAGUAAUCGCAGAUCAGCAACGCUGCGGUGAAUACGUUCCCGGGC